RNAcentral lists this ribosomal RNA (2904 nucleotides) under Escherichia coli. RNAcentral describes it as "23S ribosomal RNA". It matches the Rfam family "Bacterial large subunit ribosomal RNA". Lineage: Bacteria; Pseudomonadati; Pseudomonadota; Gammaproteobacteria; Enterobacterales; Enterobacteriaceae. The record is from RNAcentral.
GGUUAAGCGACUAAGCGUACACGGUGGAUGCCCUGGCAGUCAGAGGCGAUGAAGGACGUGCUAAUCUGCGAUAAGCGUCGGUAAGGUGAUAUGAACCGUUAUAACCGGCGAUUUCCGAAUGGGGAAACCCAGUGUGAUUCGUCACACUAUCAUUAACUGAAUCCAUAGGUUAAUGAGGCGAACCGGGGGAACUGAAACAUCUAAGUACCCCGAGGAAAAGAAAUCAACCGAGAUUCCCCCAGUAGCGGCGAGCGAACGGGGAGCAGCCCAGAGCCUGAAUCAGUGUGUGUGUUAGUGGAAGCGUCUGGAAAGGCGUGCGAUACAGGGUGACAGCCCCGUACACAAAAAUGCACAUAUUGUGAGCUCGAUGAGUAGGGCGGGACACGUGGUAUCCUGUCUGAAUAUGGGGGGACCAUCCUCCAAGGCUAAAUACUCCUGACUGACCGAUAGUGAACCAGUACCGUGAGGGAAAGGCGAAAAGAACCCCGGCGAGGGGAGUGAAAAAGAACCUGAAACCGUGUACGUACAAGCAGUGGGAGCACGCUUAGGCGUGUGACUGCGUACCUUUUGUAUAAUGGGUCAGCGACUUAUAUUCUGUAGCAAGGUUAACCGAAUAGGGGAGCCGAAGGGAAACCGAGUCUUAACUGGGCGUUAAGUUGCAGGGUAUAGACCCGAAACCCGGUGAUCUAGCCAUGGGCAGGUUGAAGGUUGGGUAACACUAACUGGAGGACCGAACCGACUAAUGUUGAAAAAUUAGCGGAUGACUUGUGGCUGGGGGUGAAAGGCCAAUCAAACCGGGAGAUAGCUGGUUCUCCCCGAAAGCUAUUUAGGUAGCGCCUCGUGAAUUCAUCUCCGGGGGUAGAGCACUGUUUCGGCAAGGGGGUCAUCCCGACUUACCAACCCGAUGCAAACUGCGAAUACCGGAGAAUGUUAUCACGGGAGACACACGGCGGGUGCUAACGUCCGUCGUGAAGAGGGAAACAACCCAGACCGCCAGCUAAGGUCCCAAAGUCAUGGUUAAGUGGGAAACGAUGUGGGAAGGCCCAGACAGCCAGGAUGUUGGCUUAGAAGCAGCCAUCAUUUAAAGAAAGCGUAAUAGCUCACUGGUCGAGUCGGCCUGCGCGGAAGAUGUAACGGGGCUAAACCAUGCACCGAAGCUGCGGCAGCGACGCUUAUGCGUUGUUGGGUAGGGGAGCGUUCUGUAAGCCUGUGAAGGUGUACUGUGAGGUAUGCUGGAGGUAUCAGAAGUGCGAAUGCUGACAUAAGUAACGAUAAAGCGGGUGAAAAGCCCGCUCGCCGGAAGACCAAGGGUUCCUGUCCAACGUUAAUCGGGGCAGGGUGAGUCGACCCCUAAGGCGAGGCCGAAAGGCGUAGUCGAUGGGAAACAGGUUAAUAUUCCUGUACUUGGUGUUACUGCGAAGGGGGGACGGAGAAGGCUAUGUUGGCCGGGCGACGGUUGUCCCGGUUUAAGCGUGUAGGCUGGUUUUCCAGGCAAAUCCGGAAAAUCAAGGCUGAGGCGUGAUGACGAGGCACUACGGUGCUGAAGCAACAAAUGCCCUGCUUCCAGGAAAAGCCUCUAAGCAUCAGGUAACAUCAAAUCGUACCCCAAACCGACACAGGUGGUCAGGUAGAGAAUACCAAGGCGCUUGAGAGAACUCGGGUGAAGGAACUAGGCAAAAUGGUGCCGUAACUUCGGGAGAAGGCACGCUGAUAUGUAGGUGAAGUCCCUCGCGGAUGGAGCUGAAAUCAGUCGAAGAUACCAGCUGGCUGCAACUGUUUAUUAAAAACACAGCACUGUGCAAACACGAAAGUGGACGUAUACGGUGUGACGCCUGCCCGGUGCCGGAAGGUUAAUUGAUGGGGUUAGCGCAAGCGAAGCUCUUGAUCGAAGCCCCGGUAAACGGCGGCCGUAACUAUAACGGUCCUAAGGUAGCGAAAUUCCUUGUCGGGUAAGUUCCGACCUGCACGAAUGGCGUAAUGAUGGCCAGGCUGUCUCCACCCGAGACUCAGUGAAAUUGAACUCGCUGUGAAGAUGCAGUGUACCCGCGGCAAGACGGAAAGACCCCGUGAACCUUUACUAUAGCUUGACACUGAACAUUGAGCCUUGAUGUGUAGGAUAGGUGGGAGGCUUUGAAGUGUGGACGCCAGUCUGCAUGGAGCCGACCUUGAAAUACCACCCUUUAAUGUUUGAUGUUCUAACGUUGACCCGUGAUCCGGGUUGCGGACAGUGUCUGGUGGGUAGUUUGACUGGGGCGGUCUCCUCCUAAAGAGUAACGGAGGAGCACGAAGGUUGGCUAAUCCUGGUCGGACAUCAGGAGGUUAGUGCAAUGGCAUAAGCCAGCUUGACUGCGAGCGUGACGGCGCGAGCAGGUGCGAAAGCAGGUCAUAGUGAUCCGGUGGUUCUGAAUGGAAGGGCCAUCGCUCAACGGAUAAAAGGUACUCCGGGGAUAACAGGCUGAUACCGCCCAAGAGUUCAUAUCGACGGCGGUGUUUGGCACCUCGAUGUCGGCUCAUCACAUCCUGGGGCUGAAGUAGGUCCCAAGGGUAUGGCUGUUCGCCAUUUAAAGUGGUACGCGAGCUGGGUUUAGAACGUCGUGAGACAGUUCGGUCCCUAUCUGCCGUGGGCGCUGGAGAACUGAGGGGGGCUGCUCCUAGUACGAGAGGACCGGAGUGGACGCAUCACUGGUGUUCGGGUUGUCAUGCCAAUGGCACUGCCCGGUAGCUAAAUGCGGAAGAGAUAAGUGCUGAAAGCAUCUAAGCACGAAACUUGCCCCGAGAUGAGUUCUCCCUGACUCCUUGAGAGUCCUGAAGGAACGUUGAAGACGACGACGUUGAUAGGCCGGGUGUGUAAGCGCAGCGAUGCGUUGAGCUAACCGGUACUAAUGAACCGUGAGGCUUAACCUU